CCGCGACCUUGGCGAUCGGGAAGCCGGUGGCCUUCGAAGCCAGCGCCGACGAGCGCGAGACGCGCGGGUUCAUUUCGAUGACGACGAGGCGGCC
RNAcentral lists this transfer RNA (94 nucleotides) under compost metagenome. RNAcentral's name for it is "tRNA-Arg". The record is from RNAcentral.